GGGGGGGGCGGGCCUACACAUGCAAGUCGAGCGGAACGAUCCUAGCUUGCUAGGAGGCGUCGAGCGGCGGACGGGUGAGUAACGCAUAGGAAUCUGCCCGGUAGUGGGGGAUAACCUGGGGAAACCCAGGCUAAUACCGCAUACGUCCUACGGGAGAAAGCAGGGGAUCUUCGGACCUUGCGCUAUCGGAUGAGCCUAUGUCGGAUUAGCUGGUUGGUGAGGUAAUGGCUCACCAAGGCGACGAUCCGUAGCUGGUCUGAGAGGAUGAUCAGCCACAUCGGGACUGAGACACGGCCCGAACUCCUACGGGAGGCAGCAGUGGGGAAUAUUGGACAAUGGGCGCAAGCCUGAUCCAGCCAUGCCGCGUGUGUGAAGAAGGCCCUCGGGUUGUAAAGCACUUUCAGUGGGGAAGAAAUCCUCGGGGCUAAUACCCUCGAGGGAGGACAUCACCCACAGAAGAAGCACCGGCUAACUCCGUGCCAGCAGCCGCGGUAAUACGGAGGGUGCGAGCGUUAAUCGGAAUUACUGGGCGUAAAGCGCGCGUAGGCGGCCUGAUAAGCCGGUUGUGAAAGCCCCGGGCUCAACCUGGGAACGGCAUCCGGAACUGUCAGGCUAGAGUGCAGGAGAGGAAGGUAGAAUUCCCGGUGUAGCGGUGAAAUGCGUAGAGAUCGGGAGGAAUACCAGUGGCGAAGGCGGCCUUCUGGACUGACACUGACGCUGAGGUGCGAAAGCGUGGGUAGCAAACAGGAUUAGAUACCCUGGUAGUCCACGCCGUAAACGAUGUCGACUAGCCGUUGGGGUCCUUGAGACCUUUGUGGCGCAGUUAACGCGAUAAGUCGACCGCCUGGGGAGUACGGCCGCAAGGUUAAAACUCAAAUGAAUUGACGGGGGCCCGCACAA
Molecule: ribosomal RNA, 900 nt
Filed under: Halomonas sp. JSM 102013
Lineage: Bacteria; Pseudomonadati; Pseudomonadota; Gammaproteobacteria; Oceanospirillales; Halomonadaceae
Description: bacterial SSU rRNA
Rfam family: Bacterial small subunit ribosomal RNA
Source: RNAcentral